Molecule: long non-coding RNA, 726 nt
Organism: Glycine soja
Lineage: Eukaryota; Viridiplantae; Streptophyta; Magnoliopsida; Fabales; Fabaceae
Exons: 3
Source: RefSeq, a predicted model, not a curated record
AUUACCCAUUUCCUUAUAGCACGUGAUAUUCCCCUUUUGUAAAUCAGCAACCAGUACACCCCACACAACACUUAUCACUUACGAUCCUAAACACCAAGCUUCCCUCACGAGUUUGAUGGCUUAGCACCACUCUCUUUUCCUUAAUUUCUUUCGUCGCAGUGGAUGUUGUCGACACCCACAGCAACAAAAAUCAUCAUCACCUUGUGUUCUUGUCUCUUAGCCAUGGACCCUUUAACACCAAAAGCUUGAUCUUUCUUCCCGUUACUCAAGUGUUUUAUGUCGAUUAAGGGUUAGAGAGAAAGUUCUAUACGCAGAGGACAUCGUCUUAUCGUACUCUUGGAAGUCCCUGGAAAAUCUCAGCAUUGAACAGGUGAGAAGGAUCAUAGGAAGGCCACAGUGGUAGGGCAGAUGGUUGUUAAUUAAACACAACAACCGAGGGUUGUGUGCUAUUAUAUGUUUUGCUUGUGUUAUGUUUUGUUUUGUAUAGUGUAUUUGUGGGAGCUAAUGGCCUAGGCCUAUUUCCUAUUCCCCUUGUUGUAAAUAUUUGUGACUUGUUAUAGUGGGUAUUCUCAUCCCUUCUUUUUUUGAAAAACUUAUGUCUCCCAAAUUUGUAUAGUUGAUGUUCUUAGUACCCACGAAUAGUGAAAUGUUAUGUACUUGAACUUUGUCCUACCAUAUUCUUUCUUAUAAUGGAUAUAUCCUACUCUAUAUGGUCUUCAAUCAGUA